RNAcentral lists this ribosomal RNA (327 nucleotides) under uncultured eukaryote. Its description in RNAcentral is "partial 18S ribosomal RNA". It matches the Rfam family "Eukaryotic small subunit ribosomal RNA", at positions 1470 to 1796 of the family's 1831-position model. The record is from RNAcentral.
CCCUUAGAUGUUCUGGGCCGCACACGCGCUACACUGAAGGAGGCAGCGUGAACUCCUGGAUCGAAAGAUUUGGGUAACCCGCGAAUCUCCUUCGUGCUAGGGAUUGAGGUUUGCAAUUAUCCUUCAUGAACGAGGAAUUCCCAGUAAGUGCAAGUCAUAAGCUUGCGCUGACUACGUCCCUGCCCUUUGUACACACCGCCCGUCGCUACUACCGAUUGAAUGAUUUAGUGAGGACUUCGGACUGGGACCGAUGCGGCUUUCGGGCUGCGUCGGUAUUCUGGAAAGAUGUCCAAACUGUAUCAUUUAGAGGAAGUAAAAGUCGUAACA